CGGUCAGGCAGACCUGUCGUCUUACGGCAGGUUCUCUGACCAACCAUUUUGAACUCUACUCUACUUUCUUUUUGGUUCUUCACAUCCUCUAGAUUUAUGCAGUCUUGAAGGGAAUCAAGUCAAUAUUCCCGCUAGCAU
This 138-nucleotide unclassified non-coding RNA is filed under the name Pleurocapsa sp. HA4230. Lineage: Bacteria; Bacillati; Cyanobacteriota; Cyanophyceae; Pleurocapsales; Pleurocapsaceae. The record is from RNAcentral.